GCACUUGAGUCUUCUUUUGUUCGUUUCUCUACGCUGGUCUCAUAUAGCUCGAUCCGGAAGUGGAGUAGCCCGGACUCGAACCAGCGCCCAUAUGGGAUGCCCAGCACUGCAGGUGGUGGCUUUUACACAAUCUUUUUUUUUUAAAGCUAACUUUAUUAUGGUACCGAAGAAUUUUUUGAAAUUCAUGCAGUUUUUUCUUAAGAUGCAUUUUCUGUGAACUUUAUGAAAGCCCCCCUGGACUAUGAUUUAAUUUUCCUGAUUGAAGUAGAGGCCAUGGUGUGGGGAGGAUGCAAAGGAGAAAGCUGGAAUUCGCUCUAGCUGGGAGGGAGAGAGUAAGAAAGCCCGCAGUCAGGGAUCUUAGACAGACUUGAUUUCGGUACAAUGUUUACCGUGAGAGCUUCCUGAUAAAACAGGAAAGGCAAGCACUUGUAUUUCCUUCUGCAGGACAGAGUUCCUUUUGCUGAAAUGUCCACUGAUCAUUCUGAGAAGUUGUGCAGAGGCCCAGUGGCUCUCCCAUCCGUCUGUGUCCUCAAGUAAGGCACCAGCUCAGCUCGUCCCUGUCCUCCUCUCUCCUGAAUGCUCCCAGCGCUUGGAGCACCCACCACUUCCCAGGGACGUGGACUCUUUCACCUGGCACCUAUUAUUUUUCCCCUGCUAAUUAUGCACUGGCUUUGGCAAAGAGAGUGGAUAAUGCAGGUAAGACAUGUUUGUAUUCUGGUCGUCAAGGAGUCGGGGGAUCUGUUCACUUAGCUCAAAGCUUGCUUACACUCAGUAAGCACAUCAGCAUUUAGAUUUCUGGACCUUCACCAAGUCUCCGCAUCUCUGCCCACAAGCUAUGCUGAGUUUAGUGAUUUGUGGCAUGUUGUCUUCUCUGGGGGUUUUGUCUUGUCUCUAUUACCCCCUGAGCCUGA
RNAcentral lists this long non-coding RNA (911 nucleotides) under Oryctolagus cuniculus (rabbit). RNAcentral's name for it is "lncRNA (ENSOCUG00000035722.1)". The record is from RNAcentral. Lineage: Eukaryota; Metazoa; Chordata; Mammalia; Lagomorpha; Leporidae.